UACGUAGGGGGCAAGCGUUGUCCGGAUUUAUUGGGCGUAAAGCGCGUGUAGGCGGCCUGACAGGUCUGCUGUGAAAACUCGAGGCUCAACCUCGAGAUGUCGGCGGAAACCGUCUGGCUAGAGUCCGGAAGAGGAGAGUGGAAUUCCUGGUGUAGCGGUGAAAUGCGCAGAUAUCAGGAAGAACACCUAUGGCGAAGGCAGCUCUCUGGGACGGUACUGACGCUGAGACGCGAAAGCGUGGGGAGCGAACAGG
Molecule: ribosomal RNA, 253 nt
Filed under: uncultured bacterium
Lineage: Bacteria
Description: partial 16S ribosomal RNA
Rfam family: Bacterial small subunit ribosomal RNA
Source: RNAcentral